Haliotis rubra (blacklip abalone) is the source of this 1303-nucleotide long non-coding RNA. RefSeq lists it as uncharacterized. Lineage: Eukaryota; Metazoa; Mollusca; Gastropoda; Lepetellida; Haliotidae. The transcript has 3 exons. The record is from RefSeq and is a predicted model, not a curated record.
UGUCUUAUUGGUGCGAUAAAUCACAACUUGUGUAUUAUAUGAGGAAGUAUUUCAUGCAGCGUCGCUAUCAUGCACAAAGACCCUAUCUGUGCUUUCCGGACAAGUUUCAAACACAAUCGUCAAUUAUAGACACACAGAGACAGUAUCAACUUUCUGAUGUACGUGUUACACAAUCAUUAAGAUAAGCACACAAUCUAAAAGCUGGAAACACCCAUGGUUGUCAGUGGAAGUACCAGUGUAGAGAGUGAGGUGCUCAUAACUACAACCUCAUAAUAUCAGAUAAGGUAACUUAAGUGUCUAUUGUAACACACGUUUAUUUCACAGUCAUGAUAUAACAACUCGACUAGUAUAAUUUAAUCAACCCUAAUACUUUGGAAAAGAUGUCACUCGUUUUAUAUUGUGAAUAGUUCCACACUGACAGGUCACGUGAAUAAGUCCACACUGACAGGUCACGUGAAUAGGUCCACACUGACAGGUCACGUGAAUAGGUCCACACUGACAGGUUACGUGAAUAGGUCCACACUGACACUGAGUUGUCCGCUCGACUUGGAGAAGUCCAACUUGACCAAAUCAAGUCAGUUUGUUCACAACUAGACCAAAGACAUAGCAAUGGCGCAGGCACGAGUUCCACACUGACAGGUCACGUGAAUAAGUCCACACUGACAGGUCACGUGAAUAGGUCCACACUGACAGGUCACGUGAAUAGGUCCACACUGACAGGUUACGUGAAUAGGUCCACACUGACACUGAGUUGUCCGCUCGACUUGGAGAAGUCCAACUUGACCAAAUCAAGUCAGUUUGUUCACAAAUAGACCAAAGACAUAGCAAUGGCGCAGGCACGAGGUACACACUGACACUGAGCUACCCGUUCGACUGGGAAAAGCCCAAAUUCACCCAGAUCAAGGCAGUUUGUUUAUAAAUAGACCCAAGUCAUUGCAAUGGCGCAAGCACGAGGUAGGGUGAACUUUUAUGUUUCGUUUGAAAUUUAUUUGAUCAUUUGCUUGAUCUACACGUCAAAUUAAUUUAUUAGUUACUAAGACUCUUGGGUUACACUGUGAACUGAUCGUAUUGGUACAAAUUGUUACUGAGCAAUAAAUGGAAUGAAUAUCUUCAAGAUGCUUGUUUCAAGACAUAUGCACGUUAUUAAGGUAAGGUUAAAACCAGCGUGAGUUCGUACAUCUCAAUGAAAGGCUGUUCACCUUACACUGAGUUAUCCGUUCCACUGGAAACAUCCAAUUCUGACCAGAUCAAGACAGUUUGUUUAUAUAUAGUCCCAGGUCAUAGCAAUGGCGCAGUCGCAAGG